Molecule: ribosomal RNA, 427 nt
Filed under: uncultured bacterium
Lineage: Bacteria
Description: partial 16S ribosomal RNA
Rfam family: Bacterial small subunit ribosomal RNA
Source: RNAcentral
GUGGGGAAUAUUGGGCAAUGGGGGAAACCCUGACCCAGCGACGCCGCGUGAGGGAAGACGGCCUUCGGGUUGUAAACCUCUUUUGUACGGGAAGAAGGAAGUGACGGUACUGUACGAAUAAGUCCCGGCUAACUACGUGCCAGCAGCCGCGGUAAUACGUAGGGGACGAGCGUUGUCCGGAAUUACUGGGCGUAAAGGGCGCGCAGGCUGUGCUGCAAGUCAGCUGUGAAAUGUCUGGGCUUAACCCGGGCAUGCGGUUGAGACGGCAGUGCUGGAGUGCUGUAGAGGCAAGUGGAAUUCCCAGUGUAGCGGUGAAAUGCGUAGAUAUUGGGAAGAACACCGGUGGCGAAGGCGACUUGCUGGGCAGCAACUGACGCUGAGGCGCGAAAGCCAGGGGAGCAAACGGGAUUAGAAACCCCAGUAGUCC